UACGAAGGGUGCAAGCGUUAAUCGGAAUUACUGGGCGUAAAGCGUGCGUAGGCGGUUUGUUAAGUCUGUUGUGAAAGCCCUGGGCUCAACCUGGGAAUGGCAAUGGAUACUGGCAAGCUAGAGUCAGGUAGAGGGUGGUGGAAUUCCCGGUGUAGCGGUGAAAUGCGUAGAGAUCGGGAGGAACAUCUGUGGCGAAGGCGGCCACCUGGACCAUGACUGACGCUGAGGCACGAAAGCGUGGGGAGCAAACAGG
This 253-nucleotide ribosomal RNA is filed under the name uncultured bacterium. RNAcentral describes it as "partial 16S ribosomal RNA". It matches the Rfam family "Bacterial small subunit ribosomal RNA", at positions 524 to 776 of the family's 1533-position model. The record is from RNAcentral.